GGCCCUGCUCACCGUCCAACCCUCUAGGGCCGUCUGGUACUCGGCGGCCUCCGUGGCCUCCCUCAGCAGCUCCUGGUAUCGGGGACAGCUUCGUGUAGGGAACCUCAGCAGCUGGAGAAAACGGAGGCUCAGCGGGGACAGCAGCGUGACUGGGGCCCGACUGCAGGCGGGGGGAGUCGGGCUGUGGGGCCCUGUCUCCGGUCCAGCGUCUCUCCCAGAUCCGGCUGCACAGUGUCGGGGGACACGGGUUCGAGCCCUGGUCCGGGAAGAUCCCACAUGCCGCGGAGCAACUAGCCCCGUGCGCCACAACUACUGAGCCUACAAGCCACAACUACUGAGCCUGCGAGGCACAACUACUGAAGUCCGCGCCUAGAGCCCGUGCUCCACAACAAGAGAAGCCACCGCAGUGAGAAGCCCGUGCUCGCCGCAACUAGAGAAAGCCCGUGCGCAGCAACAAAGACCCAACAUAGCCAAAAGAAGUGUUGAUCUGAUUAUCAUCAUCUCCACGGUGCAGACGGGGAAACCGAGGCACAGCAAGGGUUGACCCUAUUCCAUGAGGGAGGAGACUACAUGGGAUAUGAACUCCAGGAGAAUGCGACCCUGGCCAUAGCCGUAUUCACCAUCCUCACCUCCAUCUACUUCUUCAACAAGGCUCAGCAAUGAGAAGACACAGGACCCCUAAUCCAAGAGCCCUGCCUCUGCCCUGACCGUGACUGUGGCCUCUGAGACCAAAUAAAUGUGACUGAAUCAGCACACCCUGCUCUAUCCCACCACCCCAGCAGGCACACAGCCUCGGGCCAACUCUGUCUGAGGGCCAGGCUUCUGGGUCAGAGACAGGAGGCCCGCACUCCUGGGUCUGGGGAAGGUGAAGACUAGGGGGAUAGACUAUCAGGUUUGAGGCUAGGUGCCCAGAGACUGAGCUGUGUUUUGAGGGGGGAGUAGUCUGUCAGGAGCGUUUAGAGAGGGGGAAGGACAUUCCAACUUUGAGUGCAAAAACACAGAUAGGAGAAGAAGCAGGGAUGACUCACCACCUGGUACCAACACAAACUGCUGUGUACUUCAGAUUUAUUCCUUCUCUCUGAGUCUUGGUUUUCUUCUCAGUCAGACAAAGGUGAAAAUCUUGGACCAGUGGGCCCCAGAAGGCCGUGGCAAGGACAGCCUGAGAUCAAAGAUGCGAAUGGAAUUUGCAAGUUGCAAAGCCAGAAGUUGGUCAGCCCCGCUCUAGCAGGGAAGUCGAUUUCCGCAAAACAAGAAUUCCGAGACCUGAGCUGGGAUGGGGACCGGGAGAUCCAAGCACAGCUCACCGUGACAUCCAAGGUGCUGAGUUUGAAUCCGGAUCCUGACACCUUGACCCCGGCUGGGACUCCGGGCACUCAAUAAACGUAAUUGGAUGGAUUAGCGCAGUCAGACCGCUCAAGUCUUGACUACCACUCACUCGCUGUGUGACCUUUGAGGCUGAUCAAGGAAAUGCUGAUUCCCGCGCUGGGCCACGCGGAGAGGCUGCUGUCUCUCUGGGUCUCAAAACCCACCUCACCAACCAUGCGAGGCUCUCCCCAAUCAAAGACUACGAUCUCCCCAGGAGAAUCCUGAAGCGGCUGUGAAAACCACAGAGUCUCCUUGAAAGACUGCUUAACCAAAUUCAUUAGAAAAUCAAUGCAAAUUAAAAACCUCACCGGGAUCCCACUAGUCACCUCUGAGAAGGCGGAGAUCAAAGAGUCUGACAUCGCGGUUGCGUUGCGUUGGCGAAGCUCUGGGAAACCGCCUUUCGGAGCUCCCUGUGGAGGAGUCUAGCAACAUCUAACACGCCCUCUGACCCUGCCAGUCCCCGAGGAAAGAUCUAUUCUAACUGAUGACAAGACUGAUAAUAGCAAAUACGUCACACCUCCGAGGUGCCAGGUACGAACUAAACGCUUUAUCCACAUGAAUACACGUAAUCAUCCCAGUGACUCUUUGAGGGAGGUGCUGUUAUAUCUCAUUUCACUUAGGUGGAAACUGAGGCAUAGAGAGUGAAAGCAACUUGACAGGUGUCACCCAGCUAUAAGCAGCUGUCAUGCCAUUCUGCCUUCUUGGAGUGUUCACCAAAGUACACAGGUACAAAUGUAAAAGGAUACUAUUGUUGGAGAGGCAGAGAGAACAGCUUCUUUAUACUAUCCACUUUUUGUUGUUUUUAUUAAAUUCCUCAUUAAAAUCUGUCCAUGAGGACUUCCCUGGUGGUGCAGUGGUUUAGAAUCUGCCUGCCAAUGCAGGAGACAGGGGUUUGAUCCCUGGUCCGGGAAGAUCCCACAUGCCGUGGAGUAACUAAGCCUGUGCGCCACAACUACUGAGCCUGCAUGCCACAACUAUGGAAGCCCAUGUGCCUAGAGCCUGUGCUCCACAACAAGAGAAGCCAUUGCAUGAGAAGCCCGUGCAUCGCAAGGCAAAGAGUACCUCCCGCUCGCCGCAGCUAAAGAAAAUCUAUGCACAGCAACGAAUACCCAAUGCAGCCAAAAAUAAAUAAAUUUUUAAAAAGUAAAAGUACUUUCCUUUAAAAAAAAUCUAUCCAUGCUUUCUUUCAAAUUUUAGUGCGCUUACAUUAUUGUUCUUUUUCUAGCCUCUUGAAUUGUUUUGCUCAUCUCCUUUCAUGUGAGCAUUUUUCCGAAUUAGCAUCUGAAGCUACAGCUCUUCCUCAGAGUAUAGCUUUGGCCCCACCUCACAAGUUUUGUUGUGUAGUGUGCUCAUUUCUAAAUGAAUGGCACUCCAGUUUUAUUCUUCCAUUUAACCCAAGAGUUACUUAGAGAAUGUUUUGAAAUGUGCAAAACAAGCUGAGUGUCUGUGGUUAUUCUUCAUUAUUAAUUUCUAAUUUUGAAUGUGGCCUGUAUUAUUUCUGCUUUUGGCAAUCAACUUGUGCUGUGUUUCUGACCCAUAGUCUAUUCUUGGGAAGGGGGGAGAAUAUCAUUGCAGGACUCUGAUUUUUUUUUAAUGCUAUAAAGUUCAUUAUUGGCACAACUAGGAAAUUUUGAAUUUGGAUUGUUUAUUAGAUAAUAUCAAUGUUAAAGUUCUUGAGGGUGGUAAUGAUAUUAUGGUUGUGGCACAGA
This is a long non-coding RNA of Globicephala melas (long-finned pilot whale), 3074 nucleotides long. RefSeq lists it as uncharacterized. The record is from RefSeq and is a predicted model, not a curated record. NCBI's taxonomy places the organism in Eukaryota, Metazoa, Chordata, Mammalia, Artiodactyla, Delphinidae.